GAAAUUGACUCAAGAGGCAUGUUCUGCAAGUAAGGAUCGGACUGUUUAACCUUAGCGAUUUCAUACACGUGCCGAAGUGAAAGAGUUGUGGCGGUCACGUGACCUGGACGAGUACUUCCCGAUUCGAUGCCGGCGGCUUUCUUGAGGUACCACGUGACGGAAGGAGAUUUAACUGUGAAAUCAAACGUGUUAUCUUUGUAAGCUGUUAUUGUAACCGACAUUGGAGUAUCUGCCUUGAAUUUCUGAGUUCGUGCGUUGAAGUCUUUGCAGAACGCCAUUAGGUUAAGUCGGUAUUGACCUAACGCUGGUCCCACUGGUGGCGCUGGACGUGCGGCACCUGCCGGAACUCUCAAUCGGAUCGUCGCUGCUACCGCCUUAGGAACGCUCAUCGUCGACGACUGGAAGUGGUUGUGGUGGUUUGGGUUUGAGAUUGAUGAGAGCAGCCACACAACCAUUGAGGGUUUAACCUUCCUUGUUCAUAAUUUGGGCUGGGCUGGGCUGGGCUGCUCAAAUAUCAUUUUAUGGGCUGGGUACUUCUUUUUCAAAAACAACUACAAGCUCUUGAAAACUUCUUUUUCCACUCUAGAUUUUUUUUUUCAACUUUUAAAUUUUAUUAGUCAAAAUAGUCAAUUUAAAUAUGUAUUUAUAUCUAUAAUCUACCUCUAAAAUGUCUUGCACUAAAACAAGUAGUACUGAUAAAGGUUAAAAAAAGUCAUUAUAUAUACAUAGCGUUUUAGCAGAUUCAUUUAUACUUUGAUUGUAAUUAUUGAAUUCCAUGAUAAAAAUACAUUUUUAAUUUAUUAGUUACCCCAUUUUUGUUUGUCUGUUCCAAGGACACAAGUUUGGUUCAAAGGAGGGGAGGGAGGAGAGGUUUUUAAUGGCUUUGUGUUUGGUUCAAAGGGAAGAGAGGGAUUUUUAAUGGUAUUUAAGUUACAUGGAGCUCCUCCCCUCCCUCCAAAUCCUCCCAAAAUGGAGAGAAAGCAAAAUAAAUUCUAGAAGGGAUUUUGGCUCCCUCUUCUUCCCCCUCCUAAAAAUUAAAUCAAACAUAAAAACUUAAAAAUAUUACACCUCCCCUUCAUCUACCUCCAACCAAACACACCCUAAUUGAAGUCUUUAUAGAAACAAGACCUACAAAUCAGUUUCAGUUUCUUCCACUAAACUUGUAUUGUAUUCAACAGAAGACAUAAAAACACAACAAAACCAUGGUAAGCAUAUGAAAAACAGAGCAAAACAUGGCUGCAUUUUGAAACAGAAUCAACAACAUUUAACAAUAUUAUUCCAAAACUCGCAAAAGCAAAGUUUGAAUUCCCUUGAUGAAUUCAAUCAAGGUCUUUAACGAUUUUGAUUCCCAUGCUACUAGCAGUACCAAUAAUAGACUUGGAAAUUGACUCAAGAGGCAUGUUCUGCAAGUAAGGAUCGGACUGUUUAACCUUAGCGAUUUCAUACACGUGCCGAAGUGAAAGAGUUGUGGCGGUCACGUGACCUGGACGAGUACUUCCCGAUUCGAUGCCGGCGGCUUUCUUGAGGUACCACGUGACGGAAGGAGAUUUAACUGUGAAAUCAAACGUGUUAUCUUUGUAAGCUGUUAUUGUAACCGACAUUGGAGUAUCUGCCUUGAAUUUCUGAGUUCGUGCGUUGAAGUCUUUGCAGAACGCCAUUAGGUUAAGUCGGUAUUGACCUAACGCUGGUCCCACUGGUGGCGCUGGACGUGCGGCACCUGCCGGAACUCUCAAUCGGAUCGUCGCUGCUACCGCCUUAGGAACGCUCAUCGUCGACGACUGGAAGUGGUUGUGGUGGUUUGGGUUUGAG
RNAcentral lists this long non-coding RNA (1809 nucleotides) under Cicer arietinum (chickpea). Its description in RNAcentral is "long non-coding RNA (CARI_LNC002135)". Lineage: Eukaryota; Viridiplantae; Streptophyta; Magnoliopsida; Fabales; Fabaceae. The record is from RNAcentral.